Long non-coding RNA from Talpa occidentalis (Iberian mole), 481 nucleotides. RefSeq lists it as uncharacterized. NCBI's taxonomy places the organism in Eukaryota, Metazoa, Chordata, Mammalia, Eulipotyphla, Talpidae. The transcript is spliced from 5 exons. The record is from RefSeq and is a predicted model, not a curated record.
AGGCAGCAGCGUCACCGUCACCCCUCCCCGCCCUUCCAUUCCUGUAGGAGAAGCUGCAGGAGCAGAGGGAGGAAGAGCAUCAUGGCUGAGUUUGAGCAAGGCCAUCAGAUCCUGAGGGAACAGGAACAACACCUGCUGGACCAGCUGGGGAAGCUGGGGCAGGAGCUCAUAUAGAACAGGGAGCAGUACAAAGCCAGGAGUGCUGAAGAGUUCGCCCGGCUGACACAGGUCAUCUCUGAGCUGGAGGACAAGGCACAGCAGCCGGCUGCAGAGCUCCUGCAGGACUCCAAAGACAUCUUGAACAGGUACCCACGGAAGGUCUGGACUGAGAUACCCCUCUCUCCAGUAGUGAAGAAAAAGAGAGCACUCUCAGAUAAGCUUCUGUCUCUGCAGCAAGGCCUGCAAGAGUUCCAAGAGAAGCUGCUCAGAGACUUGGAGUAUGAGAAAGCGAGCGUGUCCCCGGACCUGCGGUCAGCCAACU